UACGUAGGGUGCGAGCGUUGCCCGGAUUUAUUGGGCGUAAAGGGCGCGCAGGUGGCUCUGUAUGUCUGCCGUGAAAGCAUACAGCUCAACUGUAUUGUGUCGGUAGAAACUGCAGGACUUGAGGCUGGGAGGGGCUGGUGGAAUUCCCUGUGUAGCGGUGAAAUGCGUAGAGAUGGGGGAGAACACUCGUGGCGAAGGCGGCCAGCUAGACCAGUUCUGACACUGAGGCGCGACAGCGUGGGGAGCAAACAGG
This 253-nucleotide ribosomal RNA is filed under the name uncultured bacterium. Its description in RNAcentral is "partial 16S ribosomal RNA". It matches the Rfam family "Bacterial small subunit ribosomal RNA", at positions 524 to 776 of the family's 1533-position model. The record is from RNAcentral.